UUCCCCUUUUAGCCUUCAUGUGAGUAUAUAAAAUAGAGAAAGAAGAGAACAAUUUGAAAGAGUUGACAAUGAUUUUGUACAUUUGAGGAGUAGCCUCUUGUCUGUAGUUACUUUUUCGUGCACCCAUAAGGUCCUUGCUUGUAUAGAAGAUGGGGUUUCUCUUACAAAGAAUCAUAUUUUUAUGUAUAUAUUUGUUGCAGUAGUUAUCUGGAGAUCUCAUAUGAUGGAAAUCAAGGCAGACAGAAAUGAUGGAUCCUUGGUUUUAGUCAAGCACGGAGCUGAGGCUGACGUCCAUUGUUUACAAAGAAAUACAGGCAUCUAACUGUGGAAUCAAAGCUUACUCGUGAAGACUUAAGUGGGUUGGUGUAAAUGAUACCAGUUGUAUUCUUUAGUCUCUUCAUACCUCAAAGUUGUGCUGCUAACAAUUUUGAAUAACGGAGUAGGAGGCCAG
Solanum verrucosum is the source of this 451-nucleotide long non-coding RNA. RefSeq lists it as uncharacterized. NCBI's taxonomy places the organism in Eukaryota, Viridiplantae, Streptophyta, Magnoliopsida, Solanales, Solanaceae. The transcript is spliced from 3 exons. The record is from RefSeq and is a predicted model, not a curated record.